RNAcentral lists this long non-coding RNA (855 nucleotides) under Homo sapiens (human). Its description in RNAcentral is "HSALNT0317889". Lineage: Eukaryota; Metazoa; Chordata; Mammalia; Primates; Hominidae. The record is from RNAcentral.
GGCCUAUCCCUGAGGGGGGUUCAGAUCCUGGCUCUGUCCUGUCCCCCCUGUGUGACCUCAGCACAUUCCUGCACCUCUCUUAACAAACCCUGCCAACAGCUGAGUUGCUUAGCACCUGCUAUGUCGUGCAGCUUGGAGACCCUGCGCACCCUUUACCAGGACCCUGUCUCCCAAAGCUCGGUGAGGCGCCUGGUCAUCCCCCAGGAUGUGGGAGGCCGAGGCUGGGAGCAGAGGGCGGCCCGCACCUGCCACAGGGCUGAUCUAGGCUGGGGCUGGGAUUGGAAUUCCAUCCCCAGGUGCCCCCGACAUGAGGGCUGGAUCUGCUGAAGCCGGGGCCAGAGGCCUGUGCUGCCCCCAACCUGGGAACCUCCAGACCACACUGAUGCGACCGCUGCCUCCCAGUUCCCAGGAACAGAUACUGAGCUCUGAGCAAUGGGCACAAUUUCAGACCCAGCGUCCUGGCGGUGCCAUAAAACUGCAGCAGCGAAGCUCACUGGAGUCAUUUUCUCCUGUGCUGCUGACACGGAGAGGAAAAAUCCCCAAAUAAAGCUCUUCCCACAGCCACAGCCACGAAAACAUUGUCCCCUGCAACUGUGCUCGCUACUCAAACAUGAUUUCUCCUCCUCAGGGGGAAAAACCUCCCAGCAAUUCUCAUUGCAAGAUGGUAAACCUGUCGCCCUAAUGAACAGCUUUCAUUUAGAACCCAGCGAGAAGGGGCGCACCGGGAGACGGCAGCUUUGUUGACUGCGAUGUUUCCAAAUCACUUGCUCAACCUGCAGCGUUCCCAUGGAGCUUGGAGCGCCCAGCAUAGGGCUUUAUUGUUGUUUUGAGGCAAGAAAGAAGUUUUCAGAAGCC